This 70-nucleotide transfer RNA is filed under the name Ictidomys tridecemlineatus (thirteen-lined ground squirrel). RNAcentral's name for it is "Spermophilus tridecemlineatus (thirteen-lined ground squirrel) tRNA". It matches the Rfam family "tRNA". Rfam says of the family: Transfer RNA (tRNA) molecules are approximately 80 nucleotides in length. Their secondary structure includes four short double-helical elements and three loops (D, anti-codon, and T loops). The record is from Rfam by way of RNAcentral. Lineage: Eukaryota; Metazoa; Chordata; Mammalia; Rodentia; Sciuridae.
GGGGUUGUGGCUCAGUGGUUAGAGCGCUUGCCUAGCAAGUAUGAGGCACUGGGUUCAGUCCCCAGCACCA